Molecule: ribosomal RNA, 492 nt
Filed under: uncultured bacterium
Lineage: Bacteria
Description: partial 16S ribosomal RNA
Rfam family: Bacterial small subunit ribosomal RNA
Source: RNAcentral
AGUGAACGCUGGCGGUAGGCCUAACACAUGCAAGUCGAACGGCAGCACAGUAAGAGCUUGCUCUUACGGGUGGCGAGUGGCGGACGGGUGAGGAAUACAUCGGAAUCUACUUUUUCGUGGGGGAUAACGUAGGGAAACUUACGCUAAUACCGCAUACGACCUACGGGUGAAAGCAGGGGAUCUUCGGACCUUGCGCGAUUGAAUGAGCCGAUGUCGGAUUAGCUAGUUGGCGGGGUAAAGGCCCACCAAGGCGACGAUCCGUAGCUGGUCUGAGAGGAUGAUCAGCCAGACGGGAACUGAGACACGGUCCAGACUCCGACGGGAAGCAGCAGUGGGGAAUAUUGGACAAUGGGCGCAAGCCUGAUCCAGCCAUACCGCGUGGGUGAAGAAGGCCUUCGGGUUGUAAAGCCCUUUUGUUGGGAAAGAAAAGCAGCAGGUUAAUACCCCGCUGUUCUGACGGUACCCAAAGAAUAAGCACCGGCUAACUUCGUG